RNAcentral lists this long non-coding RNA (327 nucleotides) under Capra hircus (goat). Its description in RNAcentral is "lncRNA (ENSCHIG00000004851.1)". The record is from RNAcentral. Lineage: Eukaryota; Metazoa; Chordata; Mammalia; Artiodactyla; Bovidae.
CAACUGGUGAAGUGUGCUGUCAUUGGUCCCCGGGAUCUGGGCGGAUCCUUCCGUUAGGGACCUUCUCGCUGGCGGGAGGGAGAGGAGGGGAGGCCCAUCAUGGCCCCCCAGGUCCGACCUUACAGAUGCUGAGCUGUGUGUGGUGAACAGUCAAGGUGCCCCUGAAUGCUGAAGUGAAUGCCACAUGGACAGAGGAGUCUGGCAGGGGGCCACAAAGAGUUACACAGGACUGAGCAAAAUACCCAGGUAGAGAUGACCUUUCUCAAUCUACAGCCAAAUACAAACAGCUUCUCCACUUUAGUAAAAAGAAGAUCAAGAUUUGUCUGA